This 1124-nucleotide ribosomal RNA is filed under the name Triticum aestivum (bread wheat). Its description in RNAcentral is "partial small subunit ribosomal RNA". The record is from RNAcentral. Lineage: Eukaryota; Viridiplantae; Streptophyta; Magnoliopsida; Poales; Poaceae.
GAUAAAAUGUAAAUUGUCUCCCUUCUUUGUUCAUACAUCCUGUUUUGUAUUUCACGUAGUGUAGUUUCUGUGCGUGUUUGCACACACACACAUAUAUAUAUAUAGUGUGCAUGACGAUUGUGUUUAUGAUGUGUUACAUUGUUCCAAGAAUUCGUUCUUUACCUGUCCCCUAUAUAUAUCGAUUAAUAGUUCGUAUGUUUGACUCACUGUGUACGGUGCCAAGUCGAGUGUCUAGUGGUACAUUGUGAUGUUUGUGUUCAGACUUUGACUUGUGUAUGUGAGAUCUUUUGUUCAUGCUUUGACUCGUUUGUUGUCCAAAAUUCAUGAGAUGCUUAGACUUGGAAUGUUUCAGAAUUUGUAGAGCGUUAUGAUGUCUUUAAAUCUCUCUCUCUCUCUCUCUCUCUCUCUCUCUCUAUUCCGUCGUCGUCGUCCGUUCCUCCUUCUUCGCUCCGUCCCCCUCCUCGUCGUCGUCCGUUCCUCCUUCUUCGUCGUCCCCCGCAACCCUCCUUCUCCUCUCCAAGUCUCUUCUCCCGUCUCGUCGUCGCUCCAUCCCUCUUCUUUCUCGUCGUCCGACCCCAAGUCUUUUCUAAUCCUCGUCGUUGAUCUCCGUUCCCUUCUUCUCUCGUCGCUGUCCUCUUCUUCUUUUGUCGUCGCACUACUCCCUUACUCGUCGUCGCACUCUCUAGUCGUUCCCCCGCGUCAUCUUCUUCUCGUCGUCGUUCCAAACCCGUUCUUCUUGUCUCCGCACCCCUCCAAUCUUUCUCUCGUCGUCGUCUUAAACCCCCUUCUUCUUUCCACCUCCUCGUCGUCGUCAAGUCUAAACCCCUCCUCUUAGCGCGCCCCGUAGUCUGCGGAGGCCGGUAGACAGACCACCCAACGCACUCCACACCCCUCCGCGACACCACGACCACCGACCUCUACCACCGCGACCACUGCCGCCACACCUACCUACUACCACCUAAGCCCCUUCCUCUUCUUCUACCACCGCGACCACCUACCUACCCUCCGCUUCCGCGUGGUGGUGCGGCCGGACCGGCACCGCCGCCGGCCCCAACCUCUUCUUACCCACUCCCUCUCUCUCUAUACGAUCCGGGUUUCCCCUAGCUCCGACGCGAUCCCUAAAC